RNAcentral lists this long non-coding RNA (844 nucleotides) under Mytilus galloprovincialis (Mediterranean mussel). The record is from RNAcentral. Lineage: Eukaryota; Metazoa; Mollusca; Bivalvia; Mytilida; Mytilidae.
UAUAUAUAUAAUAUCACAGUAUUACAUAGUAUUAUACUUAUGGUAGACCAACUGACAUUAGAUUAUUAUUACGAGCUUCAAAAGCUUGACUUAAAUAACUACAUAUUUGUCUGGUGUUAACUAGAUUUACUGGGUUAAGUAAAUAGAUCGUUGAUUUAAUAUCAUCAUCAUUAUUAAGGUUUUUGAAAAUAUCAAACUUCUCUCGAAGGUCUUUAUAUAGAGGACAAUGUAAAAGAAAAUGAACUUCAUCUUCCACUUUAUCUUUACAAAGUUUGCAGUAUCUUUCACUUGCUAAAAUUUUUGGUUUGCUAUACCUCCCAGUUUCAAUUGCAAGUGAAUGUGCACUUAUUCUAAUUUUUGUAAGCAGUGACCUAUCAUAUUUUUUAAUAUCAAAUCUUAAGUAAGCUUUCAAGUCAAAUGAUGAGCACAUUUUACUAUAAAAUCUUAGUUUACCUGUGUUAUUAGAUUUAAUAUUCUCAAGUUGACCCAAAAUCUUGCAUUUAUAAAAGUUUUUCAGUGAGUCCUCAAACAUAUUAUGUGAUAUUUGAAGUGAAUCAAAGUUGAUUAACUUUUUUAGUUUAUGUAAGGACUGUACCCAGCAAGCGCUCUUUUGUGUAUACAGUUUUUUAUCUUCAAUGAAUGCAGAUUUUAAUAGAACAAAUUUUGGGUUGUUUCCAACUUCAAUGUCAGUUAAUCUAGCAUAGUAUUUAAACAUUAGUUUAUAUGAUAUAAAACACGCUGGAUAUAGCUCAAGUUCUGUACGUAAAGCUAAAUUGGAAGCCUUACCAUGAACACCAAGAACAUUUUUCAUAAUCAUAUUCUGAACCUUUUCAAAUGGUAGUUU